Molecule: transfer RNA, 85 nt
Filed under: Deltaproteobacteria bacterium
Lineage: Bacteria; Pseudomonadati; Myxococcota; Myxococcia
Description: tRNA-Leu
Rfam family: tRNA
About the family: Transfer RNA (tRNA) molecules are approximately 80 nucleotides in length. Their secondary structure includes four short double-helical elements and three loops (D, anti-codon, and T loops). Further hydrogen bonds mediate the characteristic L-shaped molecular structure. tRNAs have two regions of fundamental functional importance: the anti-codon, which is responsible for specific mRNA codon recognition, and the 3' end, to which the tRNAs corresponding amino acid is attached (by aminoacyl-tRNA synthetases). tRNAs cope with the degeneracy of the genetic code in two manners: having more than one tRNA (with a specific anti-codon) for a particular amino acid; and 'wobble' base-pairing, i.e. permitting non-standard base-pairing at the 3rd anti-codon position.
Source: RNAcentral
GCCCGGAUGGCGGAACUGGUAGACGCAAGGGACUUAAAAUCCCUCGGUGUUUGACACCGUGCCGGUUCGAUUCCGGCUCCGGGCA